GAUGAACGCUGGCGGCGUGCCUAAUACAUGCAAGUCGAGCGAACAGACGAGGAGCUUGCUCCUCUGACGUUAGCGGCGGACGGGUGAGUAACACGUGGAUAACCUACCUAUAAGACUGGGAUAACUUCGGGAAACCGGAGCUAAUACCGGAUAAUAUAUUGAACCGCAUGGUUCAAUAGUGAAAGACGGUUUUGCUGUCACUUAUAGAUGGAUCCGCGCCGCAUUAGCUAGUUGGUAAGGUAACGGCUUACCAAGGCAACGAUGCGUAGCCGACCUGAGAGGGUGAUCGGCCACAAUGGAACUGGGACACGGUCCAGACUCCUACGGGAGGCAGCAGUAGGGAAUCUUCCGCAAUGGGCGAAAGCCUGACGGAGCAACGCCGCGUGAGUGAUGAAGGUCUUCGGAUCGUAAAACUCUGUUAUUAGGGAAGAACAAAUGUGUAAGUAACUAUGCACGUCUUGACGGUACCUAAUCAGAAAGCCACGGCUAACUACGUG
RNAcentral lists this ribosomal RNA (497 nucleotides) under uncultured bacterium. RNAcentral's name for it is "partial 16S ribosomal RNA". It matches the Rfam family "Bacterial small subunit ribosomal RNA", at positions 28 to 507 of the family's 1533-position model. The record is from RNAcentral.